GUGGAUUAGAUACCCUGGUAGUCCGCACAGUAAACUGUGAUCACUGGGUGUAGCGGGUAUUGACCCCCGCUGUGCCGAAGCUAACGCAUUAAGUGAUCCGCCUGGGAAGUACGGUCGCAAGAUUAAAACUCAAAGGAAUUGACGGGGGCCCGCACAAGCGGUGGAGUAUGUGGUUUAAUUCGACGCAACGCGAAGAACCUUACCUGGGUUUGACAUCUGCGGAAUUCUGAUGAAAGUCGGGAGUGCCCUUCGGGGAGCCGCAAGACAGGUGCUGCACGGCCGUCGUCAACU
This 291-nucleotide ribosomal RNA is filed under the name uncultured bacterium. RNAcentral's name for it is "partial 16S ribosomal RNA". It matches the Rfam family "Bacterial small subunit ribosomal RNA", at positions 773 to 1060 of the family's 1533-position model. The record is from RNAcentral.